GGAAGAAGAGGCUGUGGCCGUGGCUGAGGCUGCAACUGCAGCAGUGCAGUUGGGAAAGAAGAGAAGGAAAGGAAGAAGAAGAGAAAGGAAAAGGGAAGAAGAGAGGCAGAGGAGAAGGGGAGGCAGGCAGUGGCAGCUGCAGCGGGAAGAGAAGGAGAGGAAAUAGAGCAGGGGAGGAAGAAGAGGCUGCGGUUGUGGUGGCUGCGGCCAGGGCUGCGAGUGCGACUGCGACAGUUGCAGCUGGGAAAGAAAGGAAAGGAAAGGGGAAAAAAGUGGCUGCGGACGGAAUUGCGGCCACAGCGACAGAGACUGCGUAUGCAGUAGUUGUGUCUGUGAAAGAAGGGGAGGAAGAAGGCAGUGCGGUGGAAGGGGCAGCGACUGUGGCGGCAACAGCGGCGGUGGCUGUGGCAGCUGCGUUUGAGAAAGAAAAAGAAGGAAUGAGAGUAAGAGAGAGUAGGUGACUAUGCCUCGAUGUUCGACACGUGGUGUAGUUGCGAAGAAAGAAAGAAAACAAGUGCAC
This 520-nucleotide long non-coding RNA is filed under the name Musa acuminata (dwarf banana). RNAcentral's name for it is "long non-coding RNA (MACU_LNC011269)". The record is from RNAcentral. Lineage: Eukaryota; Viridiplantae; Streptophyta; Magnoliopsida; Zingiberales; Musaceae.